This 104-nucleotide ribosomal RNA is filed under the name Burkholderia metallica. RNAcentral describes it as "partial 23S ribosomal RNA". It matches the Rfam family "Bacterial large subunit ribosomal RNA", at positions 2822 to 2925 of the family's 2925-position model. The record is from RNAcentral. Lineage: Bacteria; Pseudomonadati; Pseudomonadota; Betaproteobacteria; Burkholderiales; Burkholderiaceae. RNAcentral also lists the same sequence under 2 other names.
UCCCCUUGAAGGGUCGUUCGAGACCAGGACGUUGAUAGGUCAGGUGUGUAAGCGCAGUAAUGCGUUCAGCUAACUGAUACUAAUUGCCCGUAAGGCUUGAUCCU